AAAAUAUUUAUAUGUCACUGUGCCAGUACUCUCAGCCAAAGCUACCUAUCGAAAGAUUAUCAAGGCUAGAAGGAAAACACAUAAGUUAUGUUCUGGACUGUGCAAACACUCCUGAGCACAGCCAUAAACUAUAGCUGGAAUGUUCACUGAUAUCCAGCCACCCAGGGCUUUUGACCUUAUUGGAACAGCACAGGUCAGUGGAUAUGCCCAGAGGUAGGGGUGCCUCCAACUGUAAGAGGCAAAUGCAGACUGGCAAUGGUGCUUCAUGAAGACACCUGAAGAAAGGUUGCUAAAUUGUUUCUGUCAUCUCAGGGAACACCUUGAUGCUGAAAGGUUGAGAGAGCAUGAAGUCAUCUGAUGUGUCUGAAAAGAUGAAUACAACAUAUUAAUAUUGCAGCUGUCACCCCAAGAAGAGUGAGAAUACUUACUAGUGGUGAGAGACUGGAGAUCAUUGUGAAUCCUGUAGAUCAAGCCCUUGCUCUCUGACUUCAUUGCAUGUCCCCACAGAGUACUGUUACAAUCUGGGAUAUCUCCUGAUAUGAGAGAGAAAAAGAAAAAAAAAAAUCAACAAUGUGGAAGCAUCUGCUGCUAUCAAUGUCCACAACAUGUAUCUCUGGCCCUUGAGGAUUUUUUUUGCACAUCCCUGCUUGCAACCGUCCUGCCUUUUCAAAAGCUGGGGACAUCUUCUGAGCCAAAAAGUCCCUCCCUUUGGAGUAUAAUCCUGCAAAUAUGCUUCGUCCCAAAAUGCCAUUCCAAAGGAGAAAGUUGGAACAGCAAGGGCUGGCACCAGUCACCACCAGCAGCAUCCUCUAUUACAGCAUUAAUAGGAAUUAAAUUUGCUGAAGCCAUGAAGUGAGCCAGCUCUUUACUGUAAGUUGGGGAGAGACACAGGGAAAGGAAAAAGUGCAAAAGGAAGGAGAAAAGGAAGGAAGAGGAGGAGGAAUAGAAUAGCAGGAAGGAGGGGAGGGAAAUGAGGAGACGGAAGAGGUAAAAGGGAUUUCCAUGGGCUCAGUCAUUCUCCACUUUUCUUUCCAUUAAUUUGAUGGGGUGAACAGGUGAAUUUCACUGUAGCUAAGGCCUUGCUCUCCGACUCACUGUGGAAAUUUACAGUUUCCCACCUUGCACAUCUGCC
This 1132-nucleotide long non-coding RNA is filed under the name Fukomys damarensis (Damara mole-rat). RNAcentral's name for it is "lncRNA (ENSFDAG00000024259.1)". Lineage: Eukaryota; Metazoa; Chordata; Mammalia; Rodentia; Bathyergidae. The record is from RNAcentral.